This 223-nucleotide long non-coding RNA is filed under the name Mytilus galloprovincialis (Mediterranean mussel). The record is from RNAcentral. Lineage: Eukaryota; Metazoa; Mollusca; Bivalvia; Mytilida; Mytilidae.
GCGGGGUUUUCUGUUUGUCUUUUUCAUUUUUAGCCAUGGCGUUGUCAGUUUGUUUUAGAUUUACGAGUUUGACUGUCCCUCUUUUAAUGUGAUUAUGAUAUUUGUGUAUAUAACAGAGUCUUAUGAAAACAUGCCACUUUGAUAAUUAGAUUUAUUGCAUGAUAUCAAAUUUGAAUGAAAUUGAUAUUUGACCAAGAUGGUAUACGGUUAGUUCACAAAUUUU